This 63-nucleotide transfer RNA is filed under the name Dipodomys ordii (Ord's kangaroo rat). It matches the Rfam family "tRNA". Rfam says of the family: Transfer RNA (tRNA) molecules are approximately 80 nucleotides in length. Their secondary structure includes four short double-helical elements and three loops (D, anti-codon, and T loops). Further hydrogen bonds mediate the characteristic L-shaped molecular structure. tRNAs have two regions of fundamental functional importance: the anti-codon, which is responsible for specific mRNA codon recognition, and the 3' end, to which the tRNAs corresponding amino acid is attached (by aminoacyl-tRNA synthetases). tRNAs cope with the degeneracy of the genetic code in two manners: having more than one tRNA (with a specific anti-codon) for a particular amino acid; and 'wobble' base-pairing, i.e. permitting non-standard base-pairing at the 3rd anti-codon position. The record is from Rfam by way of RNAcentral. Lineage: Eukaryota; Metazoa; Chordata; Mammalia; Rodentia; Heteromyidae.
GGGAAUGUGGCUUAGUGGUAGAGUGCGUGUCUAGCAUGCACGAGGCCCUUGGCUGCAUUCCUC